RNAcentral lists this ribosomal RNA (289 nucleotides) under uncultured bacterium. RNAcentral's name for it is "partial 16S ribosomal RNA". It matches the Rfam family "Bacterial small subunit ribosomal RNA", at positions 773 to 1060 of the family's 1533-position model. The record is from RNAcentral.
GUGGAUUAGAUACCCUGGUAGUCCACGCCCUAAACGAUGUCUACUAGUUGUCGGGUUUUAAUUAACUUGGUAACGCAGCUAACGCGUGAAGUAGACCGCCUGGGGAGUACGGUCGCAAGAUUAAAACUCAAAGGAAUUGACGGGGACCCGCACAAGCGGUGGAUGAUGUGGAUUAAUUCGAUGCAACGCGAAAAACCUUACCUACCCUUGACAUGUACGGAAGCCACGAGAGAUCGAGGUGUGCUCGAAAGAGAGCCGUAACACAGGUGCUGCACGGCCGUCGCCAACU